This 253-nucleotide ribosomal RNA is filed under the name uncultured bacterium. RNAcentral's name for it is "partial 16S ribosomal RNA". It matches the Rfam family "Bacterial small subunit ribosomal RNA", at positions 524 to 776 of the family's 1533-position model. The record is from RNAcentral.
UACGUAGGGUGCGAGCGUUAAUCGGAAUUACUGGGCGUAAAGCGUGCGCAGGCGGUGAUGUAAGACAGGUGUGAAAUCCCCGGGCUUAACCUGGGAACUGCAUUUGUGACUGCAUCGCCGGAGUGCGGCAGAGGGGGAUGGAAUUCCGCGUGUAGCAGUGAAAUGCGUAGAUAUGCGGAGGAACACCGAUGGCGAAGGCAAUCCCCUGGGCCUGCACUGACGCUCAUGCACGAAAGCGUGGGGAGCAAACAGG